RNAcentral lists this transfer RNA (76 nucleotides) under Bradyrhizobium niftali. Its description in RNAcentral is "Bradyrhizobium sp. CNPSo 3448 tRNA-Lys". It matches the Rfam family "tRNA", at positions 16 to 71 of the family's 71-position model. Rfam says of the family: Transfer RNA (tRNA) molecules are approximately 80 nucleotides in length. Their secondary structure includes four short double-helical elements and three loops (D, anti-codon, and T loops). The record is from RNAcentral. Lineage: Bacteria; Pseudomonadati; Pseudomonadota; Alphaproteobacteria; Hyphomicrobiales; Nitrobacteraceae.
UGAUGCAGCGUCCUGGGAUCGGAGCAGCUGACUCUUAAUCAGCGGGUCCCAGGUUCGAGCCCUGGUGCGCCCACCA